RNAcentral lists this ribosomal RNA (435 nucleotides) under uncultured Gammaproteobacteria bacterium. Its description in RNAcentral is "bacterial SSU rRNA". It matches the Rfam family "Bacterial small subunit ribosomal RNA", at positions 90 to 521 of the family's 1533-position model. The record is from RNAcentral. Lineage: Bacteria; Pseudomonadati; Pseudomonadota; Gammaproteobacteria.
GGGCAGUGGCGGACGGGUGAGGAAUACAUCGGGACCUACCUAGACGUGGGGGAUAACGUAUGGAAACUUACGCUAAUACCGCAUACGUCCUACGGGAGAAAGCGGGGGAUCUUCGGACCUCGCGCGGUUAGACGGACCGAUGUUCGAUUAGCUAGUUGGUGGGGUAACGGCUUACCAAGGCGACGAUCGAUAGCUGGUCUGAGAGGAUGAUCAGCCACACUGGGACUGAGACACGGCCCAGACUCCUACGGGAGGCAGCAGUGGGGAAUAUUGGACUAUGGGCGCAAGCCUGAUCCAGCAAUGCCGCGUGUGUGAAGAAGGCCUUCGGGUUGUAAAGCACUUUUACCAGGAGCGAAAUACCAUCGGCUAAUACCCGGUGGGGCUGACGGUACCUGAGGAAUAAGCACCGGCUAACUUCGUGCCAGCAGCCGCGGU